This 490-nucleotide ribosomal RNA is filed under the name uncultured bacterium. RNAcentral describes it as "partial 16S ribosomal RNA". It matches the Rfam family "Bacterial small subunit ribosomal RNA", at positions 30 to 507 of the family's 1533-position model. The record is from RNAcentral.
AUUGAACGCUGGCGGCAGGCCUAACACAUGCAAGUCGAACGGUAACAGGAAGCAGCUUGCUGCUUUGCUGACGAGUGGCGGACGGGUGAGUAAUGUCUGGGAAACUGCCCGAUGGAGGGGGAUAACUACUGGAAACGGUAGCUAAUACCGCAUAACGUCGCAAUACCAAAGAGGGGGACCUUAGGGCCUCUUGCCAUCGGAUGUGCCCAGAUGGGAUUAGCUAGUAGGUGGGGUAACGGCUCACCUAGGCGACGAUCCCUAGCUGGUCUGAGAGGAUGACCAGCCACACUGGAACUGAGACACGGUCCAGACUCCUACGGGAGGCAGCAGUGGGGAAUAUUGCACAAUGGGCGCAAGCCUGAUGCAGCCAUGCCGCGUGUAUGAAGAAGGCCUUCGGGUUGUAAAGUACUUUCAGCGGGGAGGAAGGGAGUAAAGUUAAUACCUUUGCUCAUUGACGUUACCCGCAGAAGAAGCACCGGCUAACUCCGUG